GACAAAAUGCUUUGAUUUCAGUUUAGCAAGCCUGAAACGGAAUAGUCAGCUCUCAGUUAACUGCGGGUGGAUUAUCUGUGUUGAAAAGGGACCUUUUUUAACAUUGUAUCGUACCAACACUGGGGUCUGGAAAUGAAGUUUGUGGCUUUUACUUGGCUGCAGAGAAGCCUUGCUGCCAUGAAAUAUAUUGGUGUACUUUAAUUGCAAAAUUGUUCAGUCUAUCUUCUGAUAACCUACAAUUGUAAUGCUUUUUGCAGCACUGCUAAGCCUCGCAGUAUCUGUUUCCUCCUUUUUAAAGCACCGCCUAUGGAAAUCAAGUGACUGAGAGAAUUUUAGCUCCUCUUAGGAAGCGUAAAUAAGCCCUACAGAACGGAAGAGGAACUCUGAAACAGGAACUUAAACAUUCAUGCCAGAAGGAAGCAGAUGGAGACGGAGGAGAAGGCUUCCUGGAAAGGGCUGCCUGGAGGCUCACCUGUGCUGCAAGAGGUGGAAGGGCUGCAUCCUCUCUGGAGCCAAAGCGUUUCUCUCCCUUGGAUGGAGCUGCCAGAGGCUUCAUGGCAUUCCUUGGACACCAGAAAUUGGGCAUCAGGUAACAUCUCUGGAAUGACAUCUACAGUGAAAAAAAAAAAAGAUUUUUAAGCUUUUGUUGUAAAGGACUGCCUGACAGGAUGGGGAAGUGGGGACAUCCAGAAGUUUGAAAUGGCAGCUUAUAUAAUGUGAGUAUGUGACCAUUUCCAGGAGCAGCAGAGUAGAGAUGGUACUGGAGCUACAGGCAUCUUCUUAUGAAAGCCGUCCUGGAGAUGCAUUUGCCCCUGCUAACCCUUCAUAGUGAAGUUCAAGUGGAAAACAGCAGAAAGGGAGAGGAGCGUUUGCCCUCUGGACAUCCACAACACUGAAGCAAAAACAUGAAACAAAGGAAUUUUGCCUGAGAUGUGGUGAAUUUGGCAUUUUAUUUGCUACUUGUGUACUUUACAAUUCUUACGUUUUCUCAAACGAAUUCCAUGUUUCUUCACUCCAUGACAGCAGAUUUGUAUACCCACCUCAAGAAAGGAAGUGCUGCCUCAGCAGGACGUAAAGGAAUAUGUAACCUUCUCAAGAUUUGUUGUGUGGGUUCAAGCUUGUGCGGCUGAUAAUUUUAAAAGGAACAUUUAAUAACUGAAGCCAACUCCUGCAGCCAACAGCACCUUGCAGAAUGAUCAUGCAUGUGUUAUUAGAGAGCACUUGUACUAGGGAGCACAUGCAGACACCAGUGAGGUUGGGCCCCUUGGUGGGGGCUACAUGGGACUGGGGACCCCUGUCCCUCAGGCCUGGAAAACUGAAAAGCAGGACAGAAGAGUAAGACAAAUGGGGCAUGGUAGGGAGGGAAGGUAACUGAAAUAGGAAGUUUUAAUACUAGGGAAUUAAAUUCAUUGAGAACCUGUUUCAGAGAGGUUGGACUGAUUUCUAGAAUCAUGCUGAAUUUGACAAGUAGUUUGGAAGACAGACAACAGGGUGGUAUUUUGAAACACCAGACCUUUUCCCCUGGAUAGCUGCAAGUGGAAGGUUUUGGCUUUUCAUGUUCAUUUAAAACAGGCAUGAUAAAAAGCCAUAUUUGCAGGGGCUAAAGAACAUGAAAACCAAAGGAAACCUUGGAUUUUGGACUGAGUGAAAAGGAGUUUCUGCCCCGCCAUUUGCGAAAACAUUUUUUUUCAGUCUGAAACUACCUCUCCCCGUCUUUCUUUGCCCCCUGAUUUCCCAGUGGCCCACUCACCGACCCCUCUUCCUCCUCUCCACAGCCUCUUGGCUCCACUUAGCACAGGCUGGUGAUGGCACUUUCACGCACAGAGGAGGGGCAGCAGUCACAGGUUGGUGUGAACAGUGUGCUUCAUGCCUACCUCCAGAUGUCUAAAAGCUAGGCAUGUAGCAUGAGCUCAUCGCUCUAGACUCCUUCUGCGGCCCCUAAAGAGAGACAAACUUCUCCAGGGAGUGUUUCCUCCUCCCUCUCCUUGAAACUCCCUCUGGUCAUGAUGGGGAACCCUCUGGACAUGCCACAUGUCCCCAUGGGCUACAGAGGGGAGCGUAGAGGCCUUUGGGAGGCUACAGUCAGAUGGUGCAUCCCUCCCUGGAUUAAGACUGCUGAAGUGGCAGUAGGCAGGAGAUAAGAUGCCUGAAGGGAAGAAAACUGAGGAAAAGUGAAGUGAUGGAUUAACAGAGCUUUUACUCAUGGUGUUCAUGUGCUUUUGGAGCACAGUGACUGAAGCUGAUUUUGCUGGUACAAUUUUGAGGUUUAGGGGUGUCACCAAGGAAGAUAGAUCAGAGGGGUGAGCCUAGGGCUGGGCUGGGGAGAUGCUGAGAGCAUAGGUGGAGGCCGUAUGAACAGCAAGAGGCUCCAAGGCUGAGGGGCUUUUUUACUUUUACUAUUCAUUUCUCAGUUUUCAAUCCUUGCUCAGGAAAAAAAAGCAGCCAUGGGAUUCAACUUAAUAAGACUCAUUGGGCACUUUGUAUUAGUAAAGGAUUAAAGCUUUUUCACCAGGCAGACUGCAGUGGGCAGAUAAGAGCCUGGCUCAGGAGGUGACGGUGCCCUCUUCUUAAAGUAAAAGGCCAGAGCUUUGCAGAUCUCUGAGCACUUUGUUCCCACUGCAGGUGCAUUGACCCAUCACUCACAGUCCAACACCAGCCAUUAGUCUUCUGACUUGUGCACCGACUGUGGGCAAAGGAACUGUGCUAAGGAUCGGGCUGGGAUGUAAAAGCUUAACAGCUUCCCCCCAGACCUAUGGCUGAAGAAUUUAGCCGUAGGUAAUUUAGUUUAGUUGUGGAAAUCCAGAACUAGGAAAGUCUAAAGUCCAGCUGUUCCCUUUCUUUAGCCUGGGAGUCAUGUGCUACGUUUUGUAGGGUUGAGGGGAAAAUUUCACCUGGGUGCCUAUCCCCUGCCUUGCCAAUAUACCUUUCUUUCAUUUGUGGGUGAUUUGGAAGUGGAGAUUUACUUUACUUCCAGUCCAAGAGGAAAGCAGUAUAGAGAUAAAUGAGCUCUGUAGCCUUGUAAUAAUAAUAAACUAGAAACUCCCCCCGCCA
Molecule: long non-coding RNA, 3051 nt
Organism: Struthio camelus australis
Lineage: Eukaryota; Metazoa; Chordata; Aves; Struthioniformes; Struthionidae
Source: Ensembl